RNAcentral lists this long non-coding RNA (2035 nucleotides) under Callithrix jacchus (white-tufted-ear marmoset). RNAcentral describes it as "lncRNA (ENSCJAG00000075618.1)". Lineage: Eukaryota; Metazoa; Chordata; Mammalia; Primates; Cebidae. The record is from RNAcentral.
CUCUGAUGAGCAAGUGAAAGUCUUAAGACAGGUAUGAGCUUAGCAUGUUUGAGGAACAGCAAGAAGACUAUGAAAGAGGCACCAGAGGCCGGGCAUGGUGGCUCAUAAUUGUAAUCCCAGCACUUUGGGAGGCUAAGGUGCGCAAAUCAGGAGGUCAAGACCAGCCUGGACAACAUGGUGAAACCUCAUUUCUACUAAAAAUACAAAAAAUUAGCUGGGUGUGGUGGCAGGUGCCUGUAAUCCCAGCUACUCAGGAGGCGGAGGUUGCGGUGAGCCGAGAUCGCGCCAUUGCACUCCAGCCUGGGUAACAAGAGUGAAACUCCGUCUGAAAACAAAACAAAAAAUUCAAAAAUAAAAAAUAGGCAAAGGACCCGAAUAGACAUUUCUCCAAAGAAGGCAUACAAAUGGUCAUAGAUACACAAAAAGUACUCAACAUCACUAUCAUCAGGGAAAUAAAAAUUGAAACCAAAAUGAAAUACCACUUUACACUAUUAAUAUGGAUAUUAUCAAAAUGUCAAGAAAUCAUAAAUGCUGGUGUGGGUGUAUAGAAAAAAAUAACUCUUGUAGACAGCUUGUGGGAAUGUAAAUUAAUACAGCCAUUAUGAAAAAUAGUAUGGUGGUUCCUCAAAAAAUUGAAAAUAGAACUACCGUAUGAUCUAGCAGCCCCUCUUCUGUGUAUAUGCCCAAAGAAAAAAAGAUCAGCAGCUCAUAGAGCUAUCUGCACUCCCAUGUUCAUUGCACCCUUAUUCACAAUAGCCAAGAUUUGAAUGCAACCUAAAUAUGACCAUAGACACACAAUUUACACACACAAUGGAAUAUUAUUCAGUCUUAAGAAAGAAAUCCUAUUAUUUGUGACAACAUAGAUAAACCUGGAGGACAUUAUACUAAAUGAAAUUAAACCAGACACACACAAAAAAUGCAUGAUCUUUUUUACAUGUGGAAACUGAGAAAAUAAAAAUAUAUUGAAACAGGCCGUAGAAUCAUAGUUAACAGAGGUGGGUAGGAGGGAUAGUGAAGAGGAUUUGAUAUAGGUCAAAGGGUGAAAAGUUUUAGUUAUGUAGAGUGAAUAAGUCUAAUAAUUUAAAAUAUAGUAUGAGGACUAUAGUUAAUAAUAUUGUAUUGCAUAUUGAAAAAUUAAGAGAGUAGAUUUUUGAGGUCUGAACUACACACCCAAAGAAAAAGCUAACACUGUAAAAUGAAGGAUAUGUUCAUUGAUUUGAGUGUAUGAAUCAUUUCACUAUGUAUGCAUAUUUCAAAACAUUAUUGUAUACCUUAAAUAUACACAAUAAAAACAUCAAGAAAAGAAAGACAAAUAAAUUGGAGAUCAUUUACUCCAAAAGUUUUCUCUCAAACAAGAUUGGCAAUUGUUCUUGUUGCCUCAACGCUCAGAGAUCUGCAGGUACUGCCAACUUGUGUCUAAAUCUGAACACUUUCAACAGAUUAUUCUAAUUAUCUUUCUUCUAAUGCCAACCAAAAAUAGUUGCAAUUUUAUAUGAAGUAUUUCUGAUACAAGAUUUACAUGAUAAAAAACAAUAGCUUUCAUUUAUACUGGCAAUAUAUAACUUACAUGGAACCCAUUCUUAGAUAAAUAUAACUGAUUUCUUAAAAAGUAUCCUAGGAUAAAGCUAACAAGUACAUGAAAAUAAUAGAAAAGAAAAAUUAUAAAACUUUAUCAGAGGACAUAAAGUUAAUAAUCUAGAGUUACCACAUUUCUGUAUAGAAAGACAAAAUAUGUUAAAUGCACAUUCUUUAUAAAAUAAUGCAUGGUAUUGAUGUAACCCAAAAGAAAAUUGUAAGAAAAUUAAUUGAAGAGGUUACACUAAUUUUUUUAAAGAUUAUUUGGGGGAAAAUGUGAUAGAAAAGCCAAAAACAUUUUGAAAAAGACAAUUUCAGGGCACUUGAAAUGCAAAGUAUCAACCUAUAUACACACAGUUUGAGAAAUUGUAAGAGUUAUUUUGAUAUCAAAAUGUAUAGAUAUAUUAAUGAAAAACAAUGUAAAGUCAAGCAUCAGACACAUGAAUUUACAAAAUUAAUU